Molecule: ribosomal RNA, 600 nt
Filed under: uncultured bacterium
Lineage: Bacteria
Description: bacterial SSU rRNA
Rfam family: Bacterial small subunit ribosomal RNA
Source: RNAcentral
GGGGGAUAGCCUUUCGAAAGGAAGAUUAAUACCCCAUAAUAUGUUGAAUGGCAUCAUUCGACAUUGAAAACUCCGGUGGAUAGAGAUGGGCACGCGCAAGAUUAGAUAGUUGGUGAGGUAACGGCUCACCAAGUCUACGAUCUUUAGGGGGCCUGACGANGGNUGACUCCCCCACACUGGUACUGAGACACGGACCAGCACUCCUACGGGAGGCAGCAGCUGAGGAACUAUUGGACAAUGGGUGAGGGCCUGAUCUAGCCAUCCCGCGUGAAGGACGACUGCCUAUGGGUUGUAAACUUCUUUUGUAUAGGGACAAACCUACCCUCGUGAGGGUAGCUGAAGGUACUAUACGAAUAAGCACCGGCUAACUCCGUGCCCAGCAGCCGCGGUAAUACGGAGGGUGCAAGCGUUCAUCCGGAUUCAUCGGGCUUCAAAGGGUCCCGUAGGCGGAUCUGUAAGUCCAGUGGUGAAAAUCUCAACAGCUUUAACUGUCGAAACUGCCAUUGCAUACUUGCAAGGGNUCCCUAUGGAAGCUGGGUCCGGCACGCAAGCUAAGCCCUGGGGACACCUCANAGUCAACAGCUGGAAAAGCANAGGAGU